GGAUGUGAGAGCAAUCUGGCUUUCAUGUGUGCCACCCCCACUGAGCACAGGGUUGAUUCUGCUGAUCUGUUUGGCUACUCCUGUGGUCCAUCCUCCCUCCUGCAUCUGCAAAUGAGGCAAAUAAGAUUCUCCAAGCACCCUGGAUGGUCUUUGGUCAAGAGUAUACAAGUAGCCGUGCUCCCCUGCUAGUACCUUCAAGAGAGCAGCCUGAGUAGGUUUCAUCUAUCAAAAUCCAGACAUUGAGGUUUGGGGUCCCAGGGUACACCCAAAC
This 271-nucleotide small nuclear RNA is filed under the name Mus pahari (shrew mouse). RNAcentral's name for it is "sRNA (MGP_PahariEiJ_G0008025.1)". It matches the Rfam family "7SK RNA", at positions 1 to 293 of the family's 331-position model. Rfam says of the family: 7SK was discovered as an abundant small nuclear RNA in the mid-70s but a possible function has only recently been suggested. Two independent studies have found that 7SK RNA binds the CDK9/cyclin T complex (known as elongation factor P-TEFb). Lineage: Eukaryota; Metazoa; Chordata; Mammalia; Rodentia; Muridae. The record is from RNAcentral.